Molecule: microRNA precursor, 125 nt
Filed under: Hordeum vulgare
Lineage: Eukaryota; Viridiplantae; Streptophyta; Magnoliopsida; Poales; Poaceae
Description: microRNA MIR1122
Rfam family: MIR1120/MIR1122 microRNA precursor family
Source: RNAcentral
AUAAUACUCCCUCCGUUCGAAAAUACUUGUCAUAGGAAUGGAUGUAUCUAGAUGUAUUUUAGUUCUAGAUACAUCCAUUUUUAUACAUUUAUGCGACAAGUAAUUCCGGAUGGAGGGAGUAGUAC